AGCGAACGCUGGCGGCAGGCUUAACACAUGCAAGUCGAACGGGCGUAGCAAUACGGAGUGGCAGACGGGUGAGUAACACGUGGGAACGUACCCUUCGGUUCGGAAUAACUCAGGGAAACUUGAGCUAAUACCGGAUACGUCCGAGAGGAGAAAGAUUUAUCGCCGAGGGAUCGGCCCGCGUCUGAUUAGCUUGUUGGUGAGGUAACGGCUCACCAAGGCGACGAUCAGUAGCNGGUCUGAGAGGAUGAUCAGCCACAUUGGGACUGAGACACGGUCCAGACUCCUACGGGAGGCAGCAGUGGGGAAUAUUGGGCAAUGGGCGCAAGCCUGACCCAGCUAUGCCGCGUGAGUGAUGAAGGCC
This 361-nucleotide ribosomal RNA is filed under the name uncultured bacterium. RNAcentral's name for it is "bacterial SSU rRNA". It matches the Rfam family "Bacterial small subunit ribosomal RNA", at positions 29 to 416 of the family's 1533-position model. The record is from RNAcentral.